UAAGGAAUAUUGGUCAAUGGGCGCAAGCCUGAACCAGCCAUGCCGCGUGCAGGAGGACGGCCCUAUGGGUUGUAAACUGCUUUUUGCAGGGGAACAAACCCCGGUACGUGUACCGGGUUGAGUGUGAUCCUUGAGAAUAACUGGAUCGGAGCUAACUCCGUAGCCCAGCCAGCCGCGGCUAAUACAGGAGGAGUCCGAGCGUUAUCCGGAUUUAUUGGGUUUAAAGGGUGCGUAGGCGGCGUGCUAAGUCAGUGGUGAAAGACGGUGGCUCAACCAUCGCAGUGCCGUUGAUACUGGCGCGCUUGAAUUCGGAUGAGGUAGGCGGAAUGUGGCAAGUAGCGGUGAAAUGCAUAGAUAUGCCACAGAACACCGAUCGCGAAGGCAGCUUACCAAGGCGAUAUUGACGCUGAUGCACGAAAGCGUGGGAUCGAACAGGAUUAGAUACCC
RNAcentral lists this ribosomal RNA (447 nucleotides) under uncultured bacterium. RNAcentral's name for it is "bacterial SSU rRNA". It matches the Rfam family "Bacterial small subunit ribosomal RNA", at positions 355 to 787 of the family's 1533-position model. The record is from RNAcentral.